UAAUAUUAAAUAGAAGUUGUAUUAUUAUUUAAAGUAAUUGAUAUAUAAUUUAGUUUUAUUAUAUUUU
Molecule: transfer RNA, 67 nt
Filed under: Margarya melanioides
Lineage: Eukaryota; Metazoa; Mollusca; Gastropoda; Architaenioglossa; Viviparidae
Description: tRNA-Thr
Source: RNAcentral